RNAcentral lists this ribosomal RNA (424 nucleotides) under uncultured Helicobacter sp. RNAcentral's name for it is "bacterial LSU rRNA". It matches the Rfam family "Bacterial large subunit ribosomal RNA", at positions 1751 to 2184 of the family's 2925-position model. Lineage: Bacteria; Pseudomonadati; Campylobacterota; Epsilonproteobacteria; Campylobacterales; Helicobacteraceae. The record is from RNAcentral.
CCACAGCGAUGUGGUCUCAGCAAAGAGUCCCUCCCGACUGUUUACCAAAAACACAGCACUUUGCCAACUCGUAAGAGGAAGUAUAAGGUGUGACGCCUGCCCGGUGCUCGAAGGUUAAGAGGAUGCGUCAGUCGCAAGAUGAAGCGUUGAAUUGAAGCCCGAGUAAACGGCGGCCGUAACUAUAACGGUCCUAAGGUAGCGAAAUUCCUUGUCGGUUAAAUACCGACCUGCAUGAAUGGCGUAACGAGAUGGGAGCUGUCUCAACCAGAGAUUCAGUGAAAUUGUAGUGGAGGUGAAAAUUCCUCCUACCCGCGGCAAGACGGAAAGACCCCGUGGACCUUUACUACAACUUAGCACUGCUAAUGGGAAUAUCAUGCGCAGGAUAGGUGGGAGGCUUUGAAGUAAAGGCUUUGGCUCUUAUGAG